This is a long non-coding RNA of Amphiprion ocellaris (clown anemonefish), 386 nucleotides long. The record is from Ensembl. Lineage: Eukaryota; Metazoa; Chordata; Actinopteri; Pomacentridae.
AUCCACGCACGUCCACCAGGUGGCGCUGCGACCGAGAGUGUAUAUUGGCCUAUGGAUGUGAUCACGUCCGCACUCUGAUGACACAUAUAACAUUUCAGGCAGAUCGGACCAUGUCCAGUGUCUCAUGUGGCCCUGCAGCUUCUCCUCCUCCACCUCCUCCUGAAGCCUUCAUCUUUUUCAUCAUCAGCUGCUCAGUGACUCUGUUGGACGUCUCACCGUGUGGCAGCAGCUCAGGAGUUUGCAGUCAACCAAGGCCGACUCAGAAUCACUCCCACCGGGAAGAUCUGUGAAGGAAGGUCCACCCGGCUGGUCCAGAAGCUCCGGUCCAGCAGAGCAGCGUCAGAAUGGAGACGUAACCGGUGUUGAUGUCACCGCCUUGACGAAUA